This 356-nucleotide ribosomal RNA is filed under the name Salmonella enterica. Its description in RNAcentral is "partial 23S ribosomal RNA". It matches the Rfam family "Bacterial large subunit ribosomal RNA", at positions 1 to 393 of the family's 2925-position model. Lineage: Bacteria; Pseudomonadati; Pseudomonadota; Gammaproteobacteria; Enterobacterales; Enterobacteriaceae. The record is from RNAcentral.
GGUUAAGCGACUAAGCGUACACGGUGGAUGCCCUGGCAGUCAGAGGCGAUGAAGGGCGUGCUAAUCUGCGAUAAGCGCCGGUAAGGUGAUAUGAACCGUUAUAACCGGCGAUACCCGAAUGGGGAAACCCAGUGUGAUUCGUCACACUAUCAUUAACUGAAUCCAUAGGUUAAUGAGGCGAACCGGGGGAACUGAAACAUCUAAGUACCCCGAGGAAAAGAAAUCAACCGAGAUUCCCCCAGUAGCGGCGAGCGAACGGGGAGGAGCCCAGAGCCUGAAUCAGCAUGUGUGUUAGUGGAAGCGUCUGGAAAGUCGCGCGAUACAGGGUGACAGCCCCGUACACAAAAGCGCAUGUG